Non-coding RNA from Vicia faba (fava bean), 330 nucleotides. The record is from the annotation of a GenBank genome assembly. Lineage: Eukaryota; Viridiplantae; Streptophyta; Magnoliopsida; Fabales; Fabaceae.
AUGAACAACGAUAUCAAGAGUUUCGAGUAUUUCCUUCAUUUUGUUGCAUACGAUUCAACUCAGAUUGGAGCUAUUGGUUUUGGGCUGUCUCAAAACAGUCAUAGCUUCGAUUUGUCCAUUGCAACUUUUGAGAAAUCAAAUUGUUUGCUCCGCAAUGUCUUGAUGUCAGGGUUUGUUGAUCCUAUUUUCUUAGGGAUCUGUGUACAACAUGAGAAAUUUCGGACAGCAUGUGUUCGGGGAAAUGUUUUCUAUAAUCUUCUAUCAAAGAUUAAAUUGGAAAAGCUUUUUGGGGCUUUCUUGUGGUUAAAGUACUCCUCUGUAUUAGGAUGA